RNAcentral lists this unclassified non-coding RNA (240 nucleotides) under uncultured fungus. RNAcentral describes it as "partial contains 5.8S ribosomal RNA, internal transcribed spacer 2, and large subunit ribosomal RNA". The stretch from base 1 to 52 matches the Rfam family "5.8S ribosomal RNA", at positions 103 to 154 of the family's 154-position model. Lineage: Eukaryota; Fungi. The record is from RNAcentral.
AACGCACAUUGCGCCCCUUGGUAUUCCGAGGGGCAUGCCUGUUCGAGCGUCAUUAUAACCACUCAAGCCUCGGCUUGGUCUUGGGGUUCGCGGUCUCACGGCUCUUAAAAUCAGUGGCAGUGCCGUCUGGCUCUAAGCGUAGUAAUUCUCUCGCUAUAGAGUUCCGGCGGUUACUUGCCAAAACCCCUAAUUUUUUUAACGGUUGACCUCGGAUCAGGUAGGGAUACCCGCUGAACUUAA